Molecule: ribosomal RNA, 633 nt
Filed under: uncultured Bacteroidales bacterium
Lineage: Bacteria; Pseudomonadati; Bacteroidota; Bacteroidia; Bacteroidales
Description: bacterial SSU rRNA
Rfam family: Bacterial small subunit ribosomal RNA
Source: RNAcentral
GAGUAACACGUAUCCAACCUACCUCAUACUCGGGGAUAGCCUUUCGAAAGAAGGAUUAAUAUCCGAUAGCAUAUAUUUCCCGCAUGGGUUUUAUAUUAAAGAAAUUCGGUAUGAGAUGGGGAUGCGUUCCAUUAGUUUGUUGGGGGGGUAACGGCCCACCAAGACUACGAUGGAUAGGGGUUCUGAGAGGAAGGUCCCCCACAUUGGAACUGAGACACGGUCCAAACUCCUACGGGAGGCAGCAGUGAGGAAUAUUGGUCAAUGGACGCGAGUCUGAACCAGCCAAGUAGCGUGAAGGAUGACUGCCCUAUGGGUUGUAAACUUCUUUUAUAUGGGAAUACAGUGGUCCACGUGUGGACUUUUGUAUGUACCAUAUGAAUAAGGAUCGGCUAACUCCGUGCCAGCAGCCGCGGUAAUACGGAGGAUCCGAGCGUUAUCCGGAUUUAUUGGGUUUAAAGGGAGCGUAGGCGGAUUGUUAAGUCAGUUGUGAAAGUUUGCGGCUCAACCGUAAAAUUGCAGUUGAUACUGGCAGUCUUGAGUGCAGUAGAGGUGGGCGGAAUUCGUGGUGUAGCGGUGAAAUGCUUAGAUAUCACGAAGAACUCCGAUUGCGAAGGGCAGCUCACUGGAGUGUAA